GCUCACUUUGGCAGCACAUAUACUAAAACUGGAACAGAGAAGAUUAGCAUGGCCCCUGCAAGGAUAACAUGCAAAUUCAUGAAGCGUUCCAUGUUUUU
This 98-nucleotide small nuclear RNA is filed under the name Cervus elaphus hippelaphus. The record is from RNAcentral. Lineage: Eukaryota; Metazoa; Chordata; Mammalia; Artiodactyla; Cervidae. RNAcentral also lists the same sequence under 1 other name.